This 1281-nucleotide long non-coding RNA is filed under the name Triticum aestivum (bread wheat). RNAcentral's name for it is "long non-coding RNA (TAES_LNC001356)". Lineage: Eukaryota; Viridiplantae; Streptophyta; Magnoliopsida; Poales; Poaceae. The record is from RNAcentral.
CGACAUUAAAACAAACCAAGCAGACAAAAAUAUACGAGGAAAGAGGUUAACUUAGAAUCAUUUUUUGACCUCGCGUGUAGUUUCAAAUAAAUACUGUUACGGUGCCACUGCCACCUUGACCUCCUGAUGCAUAUACCUUCAAGUCUGCAACAACACUAUCAAAGAUAUUCCAUCUGAACAGAGUAGUUUGUGCUUUUAAGAUGUGGAUCACUGGGUGAGGAUAAAAUUGAAAGAACAUAUCAAGUAAACAAACCCAUACCUUUUGCAUGUAAGGAACAUAGCGAAGUAGACUGAACAAAUCGUGUAAUGAUCCGAAACGACUUAUCCACUUUCCAACAAUAUUAGAAGUGGUGCUUGAGUUCGCUGUGCAGAGGUACGACCACGCCUUCGCUGAAUUGAAUCACCUAGUUGCUUGUGUAGCACCUACUAAUUUAGCCAUCCAAGUAAUGUGUAUCUUCAGAUGUCUGAAACUAAAGAAAACACAUUAUCAAUAUUCCCCAAAACAAAUCUCUAGGCUGUACGUCCCAGAUUUCAGUAGUACAACACAACAUAAAAAUCCUCAAAAGCAAAAAACCUACUCUCUUCUUGCUCCUUCCAUUACCUGCGACCAGCCUGCAAUAGUUCCUCUUCUCCACAACUUCAUCAACAAUAGAGGCUGUCCAAUUAGAUACAAACUUUCUUUGAUGUACCGCCUUGUCCACUGCAUUGGAUUUCAGUUUUCGUUGGGCAUAGAAUGCGAGAUUGGAAGGAUGUUCUGGUGCAGUGGAUAUUAAAAGGUUCCAGAGCAGGGAUCAGGGAGAGGAUUCCUAUUCGCAAAAAAAAGAGGCUUCCUAGAUCGUUUUACACGGAGGACACGUGAAUAGUGGAAAACAAUUAGGACGAGCACCGGAGGAGGACGAACGGGGCUACAGAUGUGGAUAAUGCAUUGGUACCACGAGGGGCUACGGAUGUGGAACGAGGGAUGUGGUUGCCUGUGCUUGUUCAUGGCCGUACCUUGGAUUCACCGUUGGUCGCAGGGGAGCGGUGACGAGGGGUGGCGCACCGGGAUGCAGGGUUGCAGGGGUGGUGACGAGGGGUGGCGCGCUAGGACGGAGGGUCACAGGGCAGCAGUGAGGAGCGGCGCCGGGAGAGAGGAUCGCAGGCGAGUGGUGAGGGGCGGCAUGCAGGGAUGCAGGUAGGUCGCAGCCGCGCAAAGGAGUGGCAACGACUGACGAGCGGCGGCGGCCGAGGUGGGAGGGCUCGAGAGGAGUAGGGGAGGCGGAGGAAAGGGAACGACCUAGG